ACAACAUUACUUAGUGUAUUUAUAAUUAACAACAUUAUUUAGUGUAAUAUCUCUCGCCUCCCCGAAACCUGUGUCUACAAACACUUGCCGUGCACUACAUUGCUCUUAUUUACUCUGCCGUAAGGCACUACAGUUUUAUUUUUCGCCGACUGGCGACGUAUGACCUCCGGGCUUAAGGGGGAGAGAAAAAAAAGGCUCUUGGCAAGAACGAGGAGCAUACGGGCCGCGUGCUGUCGCUGCCCCUAACCCAACAAGGAAACCACCGACAGUCAGCUGUUUCUUGAUAGCCGGGAGAUAAGGAGCCUUCCUGUACUGCUCAAGUCCCUACUCUUUGUUCAACCUUGACGAGCGGACGUCUUGACACUUGCUUCGCCUGGGAACUGCUGGAUCUGGUUGUUUUGCGAUUUACAUACAACAUAACCUAAGAGUCUCAACAACGCAGAGUAAAUGGAGCCUAUAAAAAAUAACGAAGAGAAGGCACGAGAGCUACUCAAAUCAAGACAAUA
Non-coding RNA from Procambarus clarkii (red swamp crayfish), 506 nucleotides. The record is from RefSeq and is a predicted model, not a curated record. NCBI's taxonomy places the organism in Eukaryota, Metazoa, Arthropoda, Malacostraca, Decapoda, Cambaridae.